UCCUACGGGGCGCAGCAGUGGGGAAUAUUGCGCAAUGGGCGAAAGCCUGACGCAGCGACGCCGCGUGAGGGAUGAAGGUCUUCGGGUCGUAAAGCUCUGUUGCGGGGGAAAAAAGGCAGCAUCAGGAAAUGGGUGCUGACUGAUGGUGCCCCGCCAGAAAGUCACGGCUAACUACGUGCCAGCAGCCGCGGUAAUACGUAGGUGGCGAGCGUUAUCCGGAAUGAUUGGGCGUAAAGGGUGCGCAGGCGGUCCUGCAAGUCUGGAGUGAAACGCAUGAGCUCAACUCAUGCAUGGCUUUGGAAACU
RNAcentral lists this ribosomal RNA (305 nucleotides) under uncultured bacterium. RNAcentral describes it as "bacterial SSU rRNA". It matches the Rfam family "Bacterial small subunit ribosomal RNA", at positions 337 to 634 of the family's 1533-position model. The record is from RNAcentral.